RNAcentral lists this ribosomal RNA (460 nucleotides) under uncultured bacterium. RNAcentral's name for it is "partial 16S ribosomal RNA". It matches the Rfam family "Bacterial small subunit ribosomal RNA", at positions 338 to 795 of the family's 1533-position model. The record is from RNAcentral.
CCUACGGGUGGCAGCAGUGAGGAAUAUUGGUCAAUGGACGAGAGUCUGAACCAGCCAAGUAGCGUGAAGGAUGACUGCCCUAUGGGUUGUAAACUUCUUUUAUAUGGGAAUAAAAUGUUCCACGUGUGUGUUUUUGUAUGUAUCAUAUGAAUAAGGAUCGGCUAACUCCGUGCCAGCAGCCGCGGUAAUACGGAGGAUCCGAGCGUUAUCCGGAUUUAUUGGGUUUAAAGGGAGCGUAGGUGGAUGGUUAAGUCAGUUGUGAAAGUUUGCGGCUCAACCGUGAAAUUGCAGUUGAAACUGGCCGUCUAGAGAAUAGUAGAGGUGGGCGGAAUUCGUGGUGUAGCGGUGAAAUGCUUAGAUAUCACGAAGAACUCCGAUUGCGAAGGCAGCUCACUGGGCUACAACUGACACUGAGGCUCGAAAGUGUGGGUAUCAAACAGGAUUAGAUACCCGAGUAGUC